RNAcentral lists this long non-coding RNA (1097 nucleotides) under Fragaria vesca (wild strawberry). Its description in RNAcentral is "long non-coding RNA (FVES_LNC003967)". The record is from RNAcentral. Lineage: Eukaryota; Viridiplantae; Streptophyta; Magnoliopsida; Rosales; Rosaceae.
AAAUCGAUCAACUCAAAUAAAACUCAAAAUCAACACAUAUAUACACAUGUACGUACCUAUAUAUAGCUCCACAAACUAAUUAUAGACAGAUUUCAACAACACCCAAACUUUUUCUCCCGUUUUUUUUUUCCCAGAUGAGUUGCUUCCCAGAUCUGCGAAUAUAAAGAACUUUAGCCAACGAACCAUAAUUUCGUCGGCUAAAGAAUGUUUAAGUCGUCGGCUAAAGUCUGUAAACUUUAGUCGUCGGCUAAAAUUGAUUAUAGCCGACGAAAAUAUAAAUUAGCCGACGAAGGAAAAUUUCGUCGGCUAAAGUCUAACGGUUCGUCGGCCUGAUUUUUUUUUUUCGUCGGCUAAACCCUUUCUUCUGGUAGUGUUCUAAGAGGUAGCGUCUAUUUGAUCAAACAAACAGCUUGCCGUCUCACUAGGCUAGCCAAGACACGUAAAAUGUGCAUACCGAGCCACAACCACGUCGCUGUUCUAGGAUAUUCUCUAUGUGUGCCUUGGCCUUAUGCCAAUAGGAUAUGUAGUUAGACUAGAUCUAUAUAUUCAUAUCUUUACCAUAUUGCUAUUGUGUAAUUCCCUAUAUAAAGGGCUCCUAUCAAUGAAUAAGAUGAUGACUCUCUUGCUAUCUCUUUGUCUCUACACUUUAUCCUUUAUCACGUUAUCAGCACUUUGUUCUAACCUAGAGCCAUUAGCCCACCAUUUUUUUUCUAAACCCUAAAAACCAAAACCCUAAAAUCGGGCAGCCUUGUUUUUCCCGAUUUCCGACCAAAAUUCCGACUGCCCUCCGCCGGAAUUUUAUAUCCCCAGAAAGCUCUCUCCGCCCCGGAUCCAACGCCACCGGUCUCACCCUGAGAACCGGCCGGAAAGUCUCCGAACCGGCCGCCGGAAGAUUCCAGACCGCCGUCGCUACCGACCACCGGUUCACCACCUUCCCUUGCUCCGAUCAACCUGAAAUUUUGACAGCAGCUUCCCCAUCCAGAGAUGCUCCUCCUAUCAAAUUUUCAGCCCCAAAUUAGAAGUAUAAGUAGACGAAACGUUAUUUCUCCUCUCGGCAGCCUUUAGAAAUGUAUGUUUUUUGAAACCUUAAACUUUUC